This 26-nucleotide non-coding RNA is filed under the name Homo sapiens (human). The record is from RNAcentral. Lineage: Eukaryota; Metazoa; Chordata; Mammalia; Primates; Hominidae.
UGGGUCAGCUUGGAUGGGAUGAGGGA